This 1738-nucleotide long non-coding RNA is filed under the name Homo sapiens (human). RNAcentral's name for it is "HSALNT0018504". The record is from RNAcentral. Lineage: Eukaryota; Metazoa; Chordata; Mammalia; Primates; Hominidae.
GCUCAGCAACCUCGCGGCGCGGAAGGGUUUCGUUGCUAGGGAGAUGGGCUGAGCCGGGCGGGCAUCGCGCCAGACCUGCUACUCUGGAUAAUCCACUCUCCUGGAUAAUCCACUACCCUGGAUAAUCGGCUGCCCGCUUUUGCGCAUGUUAGGGAGUUGACGGCCUGUAGCAUUCUGAUGCAGCAAAAUAUUUCGCAGGGUCUGUCAUAGGGAUCUCCGGUGAGAGGAGGUUCCCUUCGAAGGCAGAACUGGAAACCUUGCUGCUAACUUGGGUGUUGAAAGCAGCAGGGGCCUAGAAGACAUUAAACCGAUACCACAGAAAUACAAAGGAUCAUUAGAGACUAUUAUGAACAACUAUAUGCCAACAAAUUGGAAACCAAAUGGAAAUGGAUAAAUUCCUGAACAGAUACAACUUACCAAAAUUGGACCAAGAAGAAAUAGAAAACCUGAAAAGACCAACUAUGAGUAAUGAGAUUAAAUCAGUAAUAUAGAGUCUCCCAUCAAAGAAAAGUCCAGGCCCUGAUGGCUUCACUGCUGAAUUCUACUGAACAGUUAAAGAAGAACUCAUACCAGUUCUCAAACUCAUCCUGUGAGGGCAGCAUUACCCUGAUACCAAAACUAGAUAUGGACACAAGAAAAAAAAUCUAUAGGCCAGUAUCCCUGAUGAACAUAGAUGCAAGAAUCCUCAACAAGACCAGGUGUGGUGGUUCAUGCCUGUAAUCCCAGCACUUUGGGAGGCCAAGGCAGGUGGAUCACCUGAGGUCAGGAAUUUGAGACCAGCCUGGCCAACAUGGCAAAACCCUGUCUGUACUAAAAAUACAAAAAUUAGCCGGGCAAGGUGGCGUGUGCCUGUAAUCCUAGCUACUUGGGAGGCUGAGGCAGGAGAAUUGCUUGAACCUGGAGGGAGGAGGGGCAGAAGUUGCAGCGAGCUCAGAUCGUCCCACUGCACUCCAGCCUGGGUGACAGAGUGAGACUCCAUCUCAAAAUAAGUAAAUAAAUAAAGAGACUCAACUAGCAUAAAUGAAUUGCAAGUGUUUUAUAGUAUAUAAUGAGCACAACAAAAGUAUCAAUAUAUUACAUGGAAAUACAUUUUUCAAAGCUGGAUCUUUAGCUUCCAAGGAUUAAGGAGAAUUUUGUUACUGAGUUGGUUCUUAAUUUAGGCUCUGCACCUGAGACCUAGAGUCCCCUGGGAUUUGGGUCCGAGGACUGGCAUUACCUUUGUAGGUGGCUCUUGGCAACUAGCACUGUCUAAGAUCUUAACAUUUGCAAAUGAAGCCUUAAAACAUGUCCCAAAAGUAUGGAAAGUGGGCCGAUUUCAACACAACCAUUACCUGUUCCUGGUAGCUGACCAACUAGGAGAUUUCAGAGGUCAAGUGGGACAGAGCAGGGUAGGGAAUUUUUUUUUAAGCUUUAUUAUAAAACAGGUAACUUUGUCCCUAUCUUAAGAAUUUGGAACUGAGGCUAUAGGUCACUCAAUGAUCAAAUAAUGAAAGGUCUGCUUCAACUGGACUACUUAAUAUUUCACAUUUACCUUUUUGACUAGAAAUAACUGAUGAAAGUUCACUUAGUUUGGUGGGAAAUAAGAGAUACAAAGAUAUCUUCUCCAGGAUGAGACUCCCAAAAGCAAAUGUUCUCUGAGUACCUCUGUCGCUCAAAUUUAAGCCCUUUGGAGUUCCUUUGAGCAUGGUUCUGCCCUCAUAUUUCUGAUCACUCCCUCUAGACUCCUACUCAACUUCUC